RNAcentral lists this ribosomal RNA (633 nucleotides) under uncultured bacterium. RNAcentral describes it as "bacterial SSU rRNA". It matches the Rfam family "Bacterial small subunit ribosomal RNA", at positions 202 to 849 of the family's 1533-position model. The record is from RNAcentral.
AAAAGGAGAAAUCCGGUAUAGGAUGGGCUCGCGGCGCAUUAGCUAGUUGGUGAGGUAACGGCUCACCAAGGCGACGAUGCGUAGCCGACCUGAGAGGGUGGACGGCCACACUGGGACUGAGAUACGGCCCAGACUCCUACGGGAGGCAGCAGUGGGGAAUAUUGGGCAAUGGGCGCAAGCCUUACCCAGCAAUACCGCGUGAGUGAAGAAGGUCUUCGGAUUGUAAAGCUCUUUGAUCAGGGACGAACAGAUGACGGUACCUGAAGAACAAGCCCCGGCUAACUACGUGCCAGCAGCCGCGGUAAAACGUAGGGGGCGAGCGUUGUCCGGAAUGACUGGGCGUAAAGGGUGCGUAGGCGGCAUAAUAAGUUAGAAGUGAAAUACCCAGAGCUUAACUCGGGUGCUGCUUCUAAGACUGUUGAGCUUGAGUGCGGGAGAGGUUAAUGGAAUUCCUAGUGUAGCGGUGGAAUGCGUAGAUAUUAGGAGGAACACCAGAGGCGAAGGCGAUUAACUGGACCGUAACUGACGCUGAGGCACGAAAGUGUGGGUAGCAAACAGGAUUAGAUACCCCGGUAGUCCACACUGUAAACGAUGGAUACUAGAGGCAGGAGGUAUCGACUCCUUCUGCAUCGC